AUAAAUAAAUAAAAAAAGAAAAAGCUAUCAUUUUUCUCUUCCCCUUCACCGAAAUAUGCAGCAAAGAAAGGGUUUUGAAGCUGGAAAAUUUCAGCAACAUAUUUCCCUUGCUUAGUUUCCAGGUUAGCUCGGGUUGGAGGCCGUCAGAGAUAUUAUCACCCUAUCGAGUUAACGUUAUCGGACCCAAGAGCAAAGAGGAACUAGACCAGACAAGGGAAAGGAGAAAGCGAUCGAAUAGCCUACCCGCAACUGUUCAAAAAUAUCCGAGAUUUUGUUCAUCAGCUAUCGGACUCGGGAGUGUCAAAGUCGAAGUCGUCCACACUAUCAAAGCCCUUUUGGUACUCUUUUAGUUGAACUUUGAAAAUGGCAUGUAUAGGACUGCCCUUUGUUGUUAGUCAUGUACUUUUUGGUAAUGUAUAUAUUUGGAUAGCCAUGCGAAAAUGGCUUAUAUAUACUUUGAGCAUAGCAUUAUAAUCGUUUUGUAUGUUGUUCAUUGAGAGGUAUGGAAAUUUUUGGUAACGAUUAGCCA
Gossypium arboreum is the source of this 529-nucleotide long non-coding RNA. RefSeq lists it as uncharacterized. Lineage: Eukaryota; Viridiplantae; Streptophyta; Magnoliopsida; Malvales; Malvaceae. The transcript has 4 exons. The record is from RefSeq and is a predicted model, not a curated record.